GAUGAACGCUGGCGGCGUGCCUAAUACAUGCAAGUCGAGCGAACGGACGAGAAGCUUGCUUCUCUGAUGUUAGCGGCGGACGGGUGAGUAACACGUGGAUAACCUACCUAUAAGACUGGGAUAACUUCGGGAAACCGUAGCUAAUACCGGAUAAUAUUUUGAACCGCAUGGUUCAAAAGUGAAAGACGGUCUUGCUGUCACUUAUAGAUGGAUCCGCGCGGCAUUAGCUAGUUGGUAAGGUAACGGCUUACCAAGGCAACGAUGCAUAGCCGACCUGAGAGGGUGAUCGGCCGCACUGGAACUGAGACACGGUCCAGACUCCUACGGGAGGCAGCAGUAGGGAAUCUUCCGCAAUGGGCGAAAGCCUGACGGAGCAACGCCGCGUGAGUGAUGAAGGUCUUCGGAUCGUAAAACUCUGUUAUUAGGGAAGAACAUAUGUGUAAGUAACUGUGCACAUCUUGACGGUACCUAAUCAGAAAGCCACGGCUAACUACGUG
This 497-nucleotide ribosomal RNA is filed under the name uncultured bacterium. RNAcentral describes it as "partial 16S ribosomal RNA". It matches the Rfam family "Bacterial small subunit ribosomal RNA", at positions 28 to 507 of the family's 1533-position model. The record is from RNAcentral.